This 428-nucleotide ribosomal RNA is filed under the name uncultured bacterium. RNAcentral describes it as "bacterial SSU rRNA". It matches the Rfam family "Bacterial small subunit ribosomal RNA", at positions 355 to 775 of the family's 1533-position model. The record is from RNAcentral.
UGGGGAAUAUUGCACAAUGGAGGAAACUCUGAUGCAGCGACGCCGCGUGGGUGAUGAAGGCCUUCGGGUUGUAAAGCCCUGUCGGCUGGGAACAAGUUAGUCGUGCUCAUACCACGAUUGAUUGAGUGUACCAGCAAAGGAAGCACCGGCUAACCCUGUGCCAGCAGCCGCGGUAAUACAGGGGGUGCUAGCGUUGUUCGGAAUUACUGGGCGUAAAGGGCGCGUAGGUGGCUUUACCAGUCAGGAGUGAAAUCCCGGAGCUUAACUCCGGAAUUGCUUUUGAAACUGUAAGGCUAGAGUAUGUUAGAGGAUGGCGGAAUUCCUAGUGUAGAAGUGAAAUUCGUAGAUAUUAGGAAGAACACCGGUGGCGAAGGCGGCCAUCUGGGACAUAACUGACACUGAGGCGCGAAAGCGUGGGGAUCAAACAG